GAUGAACGCUGGCGGCGUGCCUAAUACAUGCAAGUCGAGCGAACGGACGAGAAGCUUGCUUCUCUGAUGUUAGCGGCGGACGGGUGAGUAACACGUGGAUAACCUACCUAUAAGACUGGGAUAACUUCGGGAAACCGGAGCUAAUACCGGAUAAUAUUUUGAACCGCAUGGUUCAAAAGUGAAAGACGGUCUUGCUGUCACUUAUAGAUGGAUCCGCGCUGCAUUAGCUAGUUGGUAAGGUAACGGCUUACCAAGGCAACGAUGCAUAGCCGACCUGAGAGGGUGAUCGGCCACACUGGAACUGAGACACGGUCCAGACGCCUACGGGAGGCAGCAGUAGGGAAUCUGCCGCAAUGGGCGAAAGCCUGACGGAGCAACGCCGCGUGAGUGAUGAAGGUCUUCGGAUCGUAAAACUCUGUUAUUAGGGAAGAACAUAUGUGUAAGGAACUGUGCACAUCUUGACGGUACCUAAUCAGAAAGCCACGGCUAACUACGUG
This 497-nucleotide ribosomal RNA is filed under the name uncultured bacterium. RNAcentral's name for it is "partial 16S ribosomal RNA". It matches the Rfam family "Bacterial small subunit ribosomal RNA", at positions 28 to 507 of the family's 1533-position model. The record is from RNAcentral.